AGAGUUUGAUCAUGGCUCAGGAUCAACGCUGGCGGCGUGCCUAACGCAUGUAAGUCGAACGCAGCACCUUCGGGUGCUGAGUGGCGAACGGCUGAGGAACACGUACGAACCUACCCACUCGUGGGGAAUAACGCCGCGAAAGCGGUGCUAAUACCGCGUACGCUGGGGGCUUACUCCCAGGAAAGCGCUUCGGCGCGCGGGUGGCGGGGCGUGCGGCCCAUCAGGUAGUUGGCGGGGUAACGGCCCACCAAGCCGGUGACGGGUAGCUGGUCUGUGAGGACGAUCAGCCAGACUGGGACUGCGAGACGGCCCAGACACCUACGGGUGGCAGCAGCGAGGAAUCUUCCGCAAUGGGCGAAAGCCUGACGCAGCGACGCCGCGUGGGGGAUGAAGGCCCUCGGGUUGUAAACCCCUUUCAGCAGGGACGAAUCUGACGGUACCUGCAGAAGAAGCCCCGGCCAACUACGUGCCAGCAGCCGCGGUAAGACGUAGGGGGCGAGCGUUGUCCGGAUUUAUUGGGCGUAAAGGGUUCCUAGGCGGCUGAGAAAGUCGGAUGUGAAAGCUCCAGGCUCAACCUGGAGAUGCCAUCCGAUACUUCUCUAGCUAGAGUCCGGUAGGGGCGUGUGGAAUCUCCGGUGUAGCGGUGAAAUGCUUAGAUAUCGGGGGGAACACCAGUGGCGAAGGCGGCACGCUGGGCCGGAACUGACGCUGAAGAACGAAAGCGUGGGUAGCAAACAGGAUUAGAUACCCCGGUAGUCC
Molecule: ribosomal RNA, 759 nt
Filed under: uncultured Acidimicrobiales bacterium
Lineage: Bacteria; Bacillati; Actinomycetota; Acidimicrobiia; Acidimicrobiales
Description: bacterial SSU rRNA
Rfam family: Bacterial small subunit ribosomal RNA
Source: RNAcentral